AAUCGGGUCUUAUGCAAUGGAAAUCUACGAACCGUGUCAGGUCGGGAACGAAGCAGCACUAAGUAGAACCUUUCAUGUGUUGUAAGGUUGCCUUAUUCUG
This is a non-coding RNA of Butyrivibrio proteoclasticus, 100 nucleotides long. The record is from Rfam. Lineage: Bacteria; Bacillati; Bacillota; Clostridia; Lachnospirales; Lachnospiraceae.